AGAGCUUUGGUGAGUUAAUUAAGUUGGUUGAAAACGUUGGAAAGAACAUUAACAUUCAAUCAUGAAUUAAUGUAGGAAUAUGUUUGACCAAAAAAGUCAAUGGUAUAGCGAUUGAUCAACCACACUUGCAGGUUCAGAAACAAUGUUUGCCGCCUUGGGCACUUCUCUUACACUGCAAUUCAGGUGCAUAUUGAUAGAAGUCACCAUUGACUUCUGAGAUGUCAAACACUUGGGGAAUGCAUCAGGUACCUGCCAACAACCGUAAUCUAGAGGUGUUAGUUCAUAAUUUUGGAUUUUUGCUUAUUGUUAUCUCUAUGGGUCAGACAGGUGAUAUAAACAAAACAAACGCAAAGAAGGAAUUUGAUCAGUUUUGGGGAUGCUUGAGGCUGCUAUUUUGAGAAUAUUUAGGCGAUGGGUUGCUUAUCUAAAACUAUCUUGUGACAUGUUAGGUUCAGAAGCAAUAUUUGCCGACCUUGGGCACUUCUCUUACACCGCAAUUCAUAUAUAGAUGGAAGAUAACUUUGUUGUAUGAGUAAUACCUAGGUGUUUGAAAUUUAUGAGAUUUUUUAUAUUUCCAUUUGCCUCCCAUAUAUAGAUUACGCUCACGUUUGGGGUUUAUCCCGCACUCAUACUUGGUUACACGGGUCAUGUGUACUUAUCAAAAAAUCAUCAAAUCGGCUAUUAGGUCUCGGUACCAAGUAUUUCACAAUUACAAACCUUCAAAAAUGUAUCAGAAAGUUUGUUGCUUCCAUUUUGGGAAGUCAAGCAAUCAUAAGUGGAACAUUCUCGCUUA
Molecule: long non-coding RNA, 793 nt
Organism: Erigeron canadensis
Lineage: Eukaryota; Viridiplantae; Streptophyta; Magnoliopsida; Asterales; Asteraceae
Exons: 4
Source: RefSeq, a predicted model, not a curated record